GAUCCUGGCUCAGGAUAAACGCUGGCGGCGCACAUAAGACAUGCAAGUCGAACGGACUUAACCGUUAGUUUACUAAUGGAGCGGUUAGUGGCGGACUGGUGAGUAACACGUAAGCAACCUGCCUAUCAGAGGGGAACAACAGUUAGAAAUGACUGCUAAUACCGCAUAUGCCUUGAAUAUCACAUGAUAUAAAAGGGAAAGGAGCAAUCCGCUGAUAGAUGGGCUUGCGU
Molecule: ribosomal RNA, 230 nt
Filed under: uncultured bacterium
Lineage: Bacteria
Description: partial 16S ribosomal RNA
Rfam family: Bacterial small subunit ribosomal RNA
Source: RNAcentral